UACGUAGGGCGCAAGCGUGUCCGGAAUUAUUGGGCGUAAAGAGCUCGUAGGCGGCCUGUUACGUCUGCUGUGAAAUCCCGGGGCUUAACCCCGGGCGUGCAGUGGAUACGGGCAGGCUGGAGGCAGGCAGGGGAGAACGGAAUUCCCGGUGUAGCGGUGAAAUGCGCAGAUAUCAGGAAGAACACCCGUGGCGAAGGCGGCUCUCUGGAACGCAACUGACGCUGAUGCACGAAAGCUAGGGGAGCAAACCAGG
RNAcentral lists this ribosomal RNA (253 nucleotides) under uncultured bacterium. RNAcentral's name for it is "partial 16S ribosomal RNA". It matches the Rfam family "Bacterial small subunit ribosomal RNA", at positions 524 to 777 of the family's 1533-position model. The record is from RNAcentral.